CCCGUGAGAGGGUCAUUGCGGUAGAGCUAG
Molecule: non-coding RNA, 30 nt
Filed under: Cricetulus griseus (Chinese hamster)
Lineage: Eukaryota; Metazoa; Chordata; Mammalia; Rodentia; Cricetidae
Source: RNAcentral